Molecule: transfer RNA, 89 nt
Filed under: Rhizobium phage RHph_I1_18
Lineage: Duplodnaviria; Heunggongvirae; Uroviricota; Caudoviricetes
Description: tRNA-Lys
Rfam family: tRNA
About the family: Transfer RNA (tRNA) molecules are approximately 80 nucleotides in length. Their secondary structure includes four short double-helical elements and three loops (D, anti-codon, and T loops).
Source: RNAcentral
GAGGGUAUGACCGGAGUUGGUCGAUCGGUCCGGCCUUUUAAGCCGGCUGCGCAAGCACGUCGUGAGUUCGAAUCUCACUGCCCUCACCA